RNAcentral lists this ribosomal RNA (250 nucleotides) under Sarcophaga melanura. RNAcentral's name for it is "partial 16S ribosomal RNA". The record is from RNAcentral. Lineage: Eukaryota; Metazoa; Arthropoda; Insecta; Diptera; Sarcophagidae.
UUCUAAAUUUAUAGUAGAAUUUUAUUUUUUAGUCAAAAAGCUAAAAUAAUAUUAAAAGACGAGAAGACCCUAUAAAUCUUUAUAUAUAAAUUGUUGGAAUUUUGUAGAUUUUUUUUAUUACAAUAGUUGAUUAUAUUUUAUUGGGGUGAUAUUAAAAUUUAAUAAACUUUUAAUUUUUUCUUAUCAUUAAUUUAUGAAUAAUUGAUCCGUUAAUAGCGAUUAAAAAAAUAAGUUACCUUAGGGAUAACAG